UACAGAGGGUGCAAACGUUGUUCGGAAUUACUGGGCGUAAAGCGCGUGUAGGCGGCCCUGCAAGUCGGAUGUGAAAUCCCACGGCUCAACCUGGGAACUGCAUUCCAAACUGGAUAUCUAGAGUGCGGGAGAGGAAAGUGGAAUUCCUAGUGUAGCGGUGAAAUGCGUAGAGAUUAGGAAGAACACCAGUGGCGAAGGCGACUUUCUGGACCGUAACUGACGCUGAGGCAUGAAAGCGUGGGGAGCAAACAGG
RNAcentral lists this ribosomal RNA (253 nucleotides) under uncultured bacterium. RNAcentral describes it as "partial 16S ribosomal RNA". It matches the Rfam family "Bacterial small subunit ribosomal RNA", at positions 524 to 776 of the family's 1533-position model. The record is from RNAcentral.